UGCUCCAGCCUUACUCUGGCCUUACUCCCUCUUUACUCCGCUGUUACUCCAUGGUUACUCCAUGGUUACCCCACCCAAUGUCAGGGUCUGCAUUGCCCCCCCCCCCAAAUGUUGGGUAAUAGGGGAGGGCUUACUCCGGGUUUGCUCAACCCUUACUCUGACUUUACUCAACCCUUACUCUGGUCUUACUCAGCCCUUACUCGGGGUUGCCCCAUGCAUGCGUGUCCUUACUCAGCCCUUACUCCAGGUUUGCACAUGGGGUUGUGACGGGGGCCUUACUCACCCCACACUUUGUGAUUAUUCGGUACUUUGUCACUACUCAAUCCUUACUCUGAGUUUACUCAGCCCUUCAGGUAUUUCCCAUUAUUUUGUCACUAAUCAGCCUUUACUCUGAGCUUACUCAGCCCUUACUCUGGGCUUACUCUGCCCUUACUCGGGGUCACCCCAUGCAUGCGUGCCCUUACUCAGCCCUUACUCCAGGUUUGCUCAUGGGGUUGUGGCAGGGGCCUUACCCCACACUUCAUGAUUAUUCGGUACUUUGUCCCUACUCAAUCCUUACUCUGAGUUUACUCAGCCCUUACUUUGGGUGUUACCCGUUAUUAUUUCACUGCUCAGCCUUUACUCCAAGUCUGCUCAGCCCUUACUAAGAUAGUAUUUGAUGCUUUGUCCGUACUCAAUCCUUACUCUGAGCUUACUCAGCCC
This 702-nucleotide long non-coding RNA is filed under the name Numida meleagris (helmeted guineafowl). Its description in RNAcentral is "lncRNA (ENSNMEG00000006322.1)". The record is from RNAcentral. Lineage: Eukaryota; Metazoa; Chordata; Aves; Galliformes; Numididae.